This is a non-coding RNA of Ictidomys tridecemlineatus (thirteen-lined ground squirrel), 1195 nucleotides long. The record is from RefSeq and is a predicted model, not a curated record. Lineage: Eukaryota; Metazoa; Chordata; Mammalia; Rodentia; Sciuridae.
UUUACAGGAUGAAGUCAUAAAACAAAAUAACCUAUUCACUAAGUAGAACCUAGUGCAAGUAAUUAGGACAUGGGGGCAUUGACUUUGGUUUUGAGGAGUGAAUUCUUAUGAGAGCCUAUUGUCCUAAAGUCAUCCACAUGCUUGAUCUUGUCUGUGUGUGGUUGGUUCCUUUAUGUUUCUCCACUAUGUUAUGACACAGUGAAGGGGCCCUCGACAGACUCAGCAUCAUAUUCAUGACCUUCAGAACUGUGAGCUAAAUAACUUUUCUUUAGAAAAUAAAAUACUUAGCCUUAUUACAGUAACACAAAUAGAUUAUUACAUUGGAAAGCCCUACAUUUCUAGCAUACACACACACACACACACACACACACACACACACACACACAUCUCUGCCAUACCUAAGCCAGAUAUCAGUAGUGAGACCAAAGUCAGAAGACCACUUCAAUUGUGCUCUUCCCUCAUUGAAAACUACAAAAUUGUGGACCCUCACUGGAGGAAUAAGAAUUGGAAAAAUCUGACCAUUCACAGAGGGUCGUGUUGGCUGCAGGGUAUCAUUGCCAACGAUGGCUAAACCCCCAAUCCAGCACCACUCUGGACUACUGGCAGAAGCAAUGAUCUCAUGUUCCACUCACGGCAGCCCAGAGCUCCUUGGAUACUGCUGAUUCCUGGGCUGUGUCCAUCAGGGUAGAAGAAGACUCUCCUUGACGUGUAUUUGUUAUAGUGAUGGAAAGCUGACUGAUACAUAGGCCUUUCUGAAUGGAAGUUGCUGCCUGGAGAAAUAGAGAAUUUCUGCUGAUGGCUAGGACUAGUAGAAGCAGAUUCAUAUCAUGAGGACUGCAAGGCGCCCCCAACCCCUAAUGAAGACACGACUGGAAAUUCUGCCUUGUGCCUUCCUGGAUGCAAGCAUCAGGCUAACGCCUUUGGACAUAUAAACAGAAUCCUUACAAUAAGCCUGGGGAUCAUCACUAUCUCCAUUGUACAGAUGAGGCUUGCAGAUGAUGACACAGAGUGGCUGAGUGAUCUGCCACUACUACAUGCUUAUAUUUAAACCCUGGUUGUUUUGGUUCCAAAGCCAGUGCUUUUUCCCAUAUAUGCUAAAUGGGGCUCUGAUUCCCGAUCCUUAAAGGAGAAAAUUAUUUGAAAAUAUAAUCAAAACAUCACAUUCCUGGAGUCUAAAAUAAAAUUCUCUCAAGUA